GCCCCGCCCCCGCUCGCGCACAGCCCCUGGGGCCUGGCUCCGAAGCUGCCGCUCUCGACCCCGGCUGCGCGGCACGGGGGCUCCGGAAGUCCGAGUCCCUGGUUCGCCCCCGGAGCGGUUACUUCAGCGAGCUCGUUGCGCGAGCGUUUUGCAAGAAGGGGGCCCAAAAAAGUUGAAAGCCGAGGGUCAGGGAAUGUAAAAGGCAUUGCCCGAGCUGCAAAUGGUGUUCGAUGCUAAGCAGAUGCCAAAUUUCGGUGGAAAAAGUACCAUCUCACUCCUGGGCCUUGACAGAUGGCUAAUUUUAAAACUAGCUCAAUCUACUUAGUCCGAAGAAUCCAUUUAAUUUCUCACCAUUCGCUGAGUAUGAAUUUGGUUUAAAAGAAGAAGAAGAAGGAAAAAAAAGCUAGGCCUUUGGGAAGGGCCACAGGAUUGGUACCUGUAAUUUAAGCCAGGAGAGCCUUUGAUAGCCUUAGGAUGGAAGGCUGAGCCUGUCCUCCGCGACACACACCCUCCGCGCCCUACCCCUCACCCCUGGGAUUGGGCUUCUGCCAUCUUGCACUGUUAAGCCUCAAAUCCGUUCUCUGGUUCUUACGCCUGACUACAAGGGAGUGCCCCAAAGCAGGGAUCUUGUCUUAGCCUUGGGCCUGCUACACAGAAGUAGCAGAGUGGCUGUCAAAAUACAGCACCUCAUUAACUCUCAAAUAUUCACUAAGCACUAUGUGCCCUGGAGAUUGAGUAAUGCCAAGGCCCCUGCUCUCAUGAAGCUUACCUUCUAGGACAGAACUAGACAACUCACAAAUACAUAAAGUGGAGUAAAUAUAAAGUAAGAAAGUGAAGGAGUCGCUAUAGUAUAAAGAAUCUGCAGAGAAGGCUUUGCAGACAAGGUGACAUCUUGAGAAAAGAAUGACAAGAGUAAGUCACCCAGAUAAUCCUGUUGUCUAUGGCAUCUUGGGCCCUCAGCUGCCUCACAUGAAAGCAAAAGAUAAGGACACCAACCCCAGGACCUGGCUGUUAUGUUGAGUUCACUGAUGAUGGAAGAGAAAGUGCUUUGUGCACAGGAAAGCCAUUAGAAAAGUGUGAGAUGUUCACCUCCCUCUAUUGGCUGUACUGAACCUGCACUGUGCCUCCAGCGAGAUGCUCAUCAAUGUCCUCUAAGAGGCCAUGCUUCAGGUAGCAAGGGUUCCAGCUAAUUAAAGGGAAAUUUUGUAAGGGGAAUGUCCAUAAAUAAAUAUUCUUCCCUGGCAAAGGGAAGUUGAGAAGUCAACUUCAAAACACAUUCUUUAAAAAAUUAGUAAAUAAAUAAACAGGCACCCACUUUGUCCUCAUUAGCACUUUAAAAGCUUGGUUUGGGACACACCAAGUUUGAAGUUCAGAGGAGACAGCCAGAUGAUGAUAGCAGACAGCUGAAGAUCCAUACCUGGAGGUCACUUGCUCAUGUGCCAUAGUUGACAGAACAUGGUCUUUUGAAGUAUGAGCUACCCAGGAGAAAAUCCUACCAUCCUUCCCCACAUACUAACCAAGUCACUCUGCAUCUGGAAAAUUCUGUGACUUGGAACAAAUAUGGCCCAUACUAGUUGAGCUAAUUAAGCUCUCUGAGACUCAGUUACCCCAUGGAGCACUGACAACACACGGCACUUAGGCUUCACUCCAAGAAGGCCUUCCUUCCUCUAGGCUGGAAACAAAUUCAGACUUGGAUUCUUGCAUUUAUUUUGUUCUCCCAUCUAUUCCAGGUAGUCGUCUAGCACCUGUCACCUCCACUGAGGUGGUGGUUCCUUCCAUCUUCUUCAUCUGGCAUUAUAGUAAAGACUCAAUAAACAUGAGCUGUUAUUAAAAGCCAAAAGUCAGUGUUUAAUUGCCUCAAUUCCAAGAGGCCUUGGGUUCCAGAGUUUUCCCUCCUAGUAACUGAUGCUGUCAUCUUGGGCCUUAGUGCUAUCCUUUGUAAAAUAAAGGAGUGAGUGUGUCAAAAUGACCACAGAUUCCUCCCAGCAGGAGCUGACUUGUGUAUACAGUCAGCUCUGCAGAUGCAAAGAAGAAAGAUUAUUACAACAAGCUAAGCUAACUGCAAUGGUAGACAGCUGGGGAUUUCUUUCUUGACUGAAUUCACCAAAGACUCCAAACUGCUGCCAUCAAUUGCUGUUUCAGUUUCAUUUGAAGAUUAUGUUAUGUAUCUGCUCCUCCCCCAUCUCCUUUGGCCAAGAAAGGAAUAUGCUCACAAUGAGAUAUUGUGCUUUGGUAAGUAUAUACCUCCUCAGACUGGUCUGCAAUUAGAAUUUCAAAGGUUCACACCUCUACUCACCAUUUCUGGGCCAUAAUCCUCUUUAAAUUUGAAACCAUGCCUCAGUGAAAACCAUCUGCACCUCUCAUUUUCUCAAAUACUCUGAAAAUCAUUCCUGGAUAUCUGAAAGCAAAUAGAGACUGACAUGGGCAAAACGUAAAUGCUGGAUUUCUUUGUGUGGAGCUGCCCCGAAAUAGACACCAUCCUCCCCAAAGCCAGGAAAAAUGUGCACACACACAUAUUUGUGUGCACCUGGCUUUAUAUAAAGCAAGCAUCAUCUCUGUUGUCGUCAUUAUAAUAAGACUGUUCAGCACCCUUGUCCUCCUCAUGCCUGCCUCUUACUCUGAGCACUGCUGACUGAGGUUUCUAACACCAUGAUUAUGGCAGGAUGCACUUUGUCGCCUUGAAAAAAAGGCAGCAGGAACAGUGGUGGCUUAUUCUUCUGAACAGCAAUGGCGCUAAUGACCCACUUGCCAUCAGGGAAUUGGCUCUCAGUUACAUUUCCAGUUGCAGACCUCACUCUCAUCCAUCUGUCUUAUAACCAAGGGGGGAUGCAUUUGCAAGAUGACUGACCAGAAACCAGAGGUGGGGGAGUGUGGGUGGGGAGUCAGAGGUGCUCUGUGGGCCCAAGAAACCACAAGGAGCUUUGAUCCACAGUGUUAGCCAGCGACAGCAUUCAUCACAGGCUCCCGAUGCCCUCAUGGAACGAUGACAAUGGCUAAAGUGGGAAGGGAACACACUUUUUAUUACAUGGACCUGAGCUUAAAUCUCUACUUUCUUGUUUAUUCACCUUGUUUUCUAAACUAUGUUUCAGAUUAUUGUGUGAAAUAAAAUGAGAAGAUAUGGAUAAGUAG
This is a long non-coding RNA of Pan troglodytes (chimpanzee), 3129 nucleotides long. RefSeq lists it as uncharacterized. The record is from RefSeq and is a predicted model, not a curated record. Lineage: Eukaryota; Metazoa; Chordata; Mammalia; Primates; Hominidae. The transcript has 2 exons.